RNAcentral lists this ribosomal RNA (1368 nucleotides) under unidentified marine bacterioplankton. Its description in RNAcentral is "bacterial SSU rRNA". It matches the Rfam family "Bacterial small subunit ribosomal RNA", at positions 9 to 1371 of the family's 1533-position model. The record is from RNAcentral.
GAGUUUGAUCAUGGCUCAGAUUGAACGCUGGCGGCAUGCCUUACACAUGCAAGUCGAACGGCAGCAUGAUCUAGCUUGCUAGAUUGAUGGCGAGUGGCGAACGGGUGAGUAAUACAUCGGAACGUGCCCUGUAGUGGGGGAUAACUAGUCGAAAGAUUAGCUAAUACCGCAUACGACCUGAGGGUGAAAGUGGGGGACCGCAAGGCCUCAUGCUAUAGGAGCGGCCGAUGUCUGAUUAGCUAGUUGGUGGGGUAAAGGCCCACCAAGGCGACGAUCAGUAGCUGGUCUGAGAGGACGAUCAGCCACACUGGGACUGAGACACGGCCCAGACUCCUACGGGAGGCAGCAGUGGGGAAUUUUGGACAAUGGGGGCAACCCUGAUCCAGCAAUGCCGCGUGUGUGAAGAAGGCCUUCGGGUUGUAAAGCACUUUUGUCCGGAAAGAAAUCGCACUUACUAAUAUUAGGUGUGGAUGACGGUACCGGAAGAAUAAGGACCGGCUAACUACGUGCCAGCAGCCGCGGUAAUACGUAGGGUCCAAGCGUUAAUCGGAAUUACUGGGCGUAAAGCGUGCGCAGGCGGUUGCGCAAGACCGAUGUGAAAUCCCCGGGCUUAACCUGGGAAUUGCAUUGGUGACUGCACGGCUAGAGUGUGUCAGAGGGGGGUAGAAUUCCACGUGUAGCAGUGAAAUGCGUAGAGAUGUGGAGGAAUACCGAUGGCGAAGGCAGCCCCCUGGGAUAACACUGACGCUCAUGCACGAAAGCGUGGGGAGCAAACAGGAUUAGAUACCCUGGUAGUCCACGCCCUAAACGAUGUCAACUAGUUGUUGGGGAUUCAUUUCCUUAGUAACGUAGCUAACGCGUGAAGUUGACCGCCUGGGGAGUACGGUCGCAAGAUUAAAACUCAAAGGAAUUGACGGGGACCCGCACAAGCGGUGGAUGAUGUGGAUUAAUUCGAUGCAACGCGAAAAACCUUACCUACCCUUGACAUGCCACUAACGAAGCAGAGAUGCAUUAGGUGCUCGAAAGAGAAAGUGGACACAGGUGCUGCAUGGCUGUCGUCAGCUCGUGUCGUGAGAUGUUGGGUUAAGUCCCGCAACGAGCGCAACCCUUGUCUCUAGUUGCUACGAAAGGGCACUCUAGAGAGACUGCCGGCGACAAACCGGAGGAAGGUGGGGAUGACGUCAAGUCCUCAUGGCCCUUAUGGGUAGGGCUUCACACGUCAUACAAUGGUGCAUACAGAGGGUUGCCAAGCCGCGAGGUGGAGCUAAUCCCAGAAAAUGCAUCGUAGUCCGGAUCGUAGUCUGCAACUCGACUACGUGAAGCUGGAAUCGCUAGUAAUCGCGGAUCAGCAUGCCGCGGUGAAUACGU